AACGAACGCUGGCGGCAGGCUUAACACAUGCAAGUCGAACGCCCCGCCAGGGGAGUGGCAGACGGGUGAGUACCGCGUGGGAAUCUACCCAUCCCUACGGAAUAACGCAUGGAAACGUGUGCUAAUACCGUAUACGCCCUACGGGGGAAAGAUUUAUUGGGGAUGGAUGAGCCCGCGUUGGAUUAGCUAGUUGGUGGGGUAAAGGCCUACCAAGGCGACGAUCCAUAGCUGGUCUGAGAGGAUGAUCAGCCACAUUGGGACUGAGACACGGCCCAAACUCCUACGGGAGGCAGCAGUGGGGAAUAUUGGACAAUGGGCGCAAGCCUGAUCCAGCCAUGCCGCGUGAGUGAUGAAGGCCUUAGGGUUGUAAAGCUCUUUCACCGGAGAAGAUAAUGACGGUAUCCGGAGAAGAAGCCCCGGCUAACUUCGUG
RNAcentral lists this ribosomal RNA (431 nucleotides) under uncultured bacterium. Its description in RNAcentral is "partial 16S ribosomal RNA". It matches the Rfam family "Bacterial small subunit ribosomal RNA", at positions 29 to 507 of the family's 1533-position model. The record is from RNAcentral.